Molecule: ribosomal RNA, 471 nt
Filed under: uncultured organism
Description: partial 16S ribosomal RNA
Rfam family: Bacterial small subunit ribosomal RNA
Source: RNAcentral
CACUCCUGCGGGAGGCAGCAGUGGGGAAUUUUGGACCAUGGGCGAAAGCCUGAUCCAGCAAUGCCGCGUGUGUGAAGAAGGCCUUCGGGUUGUAAAGCACUUUUGUCCGGAAAGAAAUCCUUGGCUCUAAUACAGUCGGGGGAUGACGGUACCGGAAGAAUAAGCACCGGCUAACUACGUGCCAGCAGCCGCGGUAAUACGUAGGGUGCGAGCGUUAAUCGGAAUUACUGGGCGUAAAGCGUGCGCAGGCGGUUUGCUAAGACCGAUGUGAAAUCCCCGGGCUCAACCUGGGAACUGCAUUGGUGACUGGCAGUCUAGAGUAUGGCAGAGGGGGGUAGAAUUCCACGUGUAGCAGUGAAAUGCGUAGAGAUGUGGAGGAAUACCGAUGGCGAAGGCAGCCCCCUGGGCCAAUACUGACGCUCAUGCACGAAAGCGUGGGGAGCAAACAGGAUUAGAAACCCCUGUAGUCCC